GGGCUAAUAGAAGUCCAUUGGAACUUCAGUUAUUUUACUACUUUGCUUCUUAUUCAUGUUCUUCGGCUCGCUUGCAUUCUUCAGUGAUUAGAGAGGGAGAGCGAGAAUGUGAACAGGUGUGGAAGCAAGGAGUGAAUUCCUUGGUGGAAGUGAGCUGUGAGUGGGAGUGGCUGAAGUGACAAGAGUCGCAAAAGAGGAUUAAUUGACCGAGAGAGCAGUUGGGGGAGUGGUAAAGAGAGUUACGUAAGUUGGAAGAAUAAUGGAAAGCCGAAGAACUUGAAUUUAGAAUCGGAGUACACAAUAAUUAAGUUCCGUUUUAUAUACUUACAUUAUAGGCGGAUUAAUUUCGCGCAUUACACCAAAAGUGAUAGGGUCGACUUGGGAAAGGCUUUUUCGCCACGCGGUGUUUGACCAAAAAGGGGAUAAAAAGGGAGUGUUUAGUUGACAAGGGGCAGUUUUUCGUUCCCGAUUUGUUUUGCCGCCGUAGGCCAUGUCGGUUUGAAUUUUUGUCUGUCGUCGGUCGUCCAGCCCAGAGAUGCGACAUUUAUUAUUAUCCAGCAUGUAAUUUGACUUUGAUUUAGAAUAAAACCUGAUACACAACUUAACUUCAUCGAACUUGUCAUUCUUUGACUCCCGUCUUUUUUUUGUACGUGGGCAGCGCAAGACGGUGGGCGGCCACCGGCCGUCUUGCAAAGCUGUGCCGCUACAAAAUUGGUAGUACGGAUGGGGUCGACCGUCAUCUUCAGCAUGUUCGGGGAACGUUUUAGUCCUUCAGUCUGGUUUUACGCAUAAACACAAUGUUUAUCGGUCAUUGAGAUAAAUUCAACAAGGAGAGCUUCACUUCAUGUCACCGGUUCCGGCUUAUUUUUUGUUCGAGGAUGUGAAUUGAUAUUAUUUUAACUUUAACGUUGGAGAGAGAAAUUCAGCUGCAGGGGUUGGAUUGAGCCCCCACAUCGCCCGGGUUUUCGACGUUGGGACCUUACAUGUGCCGUUGAGCUCAGGAGAAAGAACCCUUCGUCCUGGGACUCACGCGUGGCUGCAUUGUAGCGAGGAGUCGAGGGACCUGUGAAAACCACUGCAAAUAGACCUGACGGGGUAGCAUAGCUGGUUUCCACUAAAACCCUCCGGAUUAGUUGGUACCGACGAAGUCUGGUGAUUUCACAUUACACUGCGGUGAGAGGAGUCGUUUAACUGCGCGAGAAUCGUCUUGGAAGGGGCUGUAAAGGAACUCAGCAGGGCGAUUGCUUUUCCUUUGGUCGUCUCAUGAGGAUGGAUUGAGGUUAGGUACUGAAGGCCGCAGGCGCUAGUCCGGCUCGGGGAGUUGGACGCUAUCGAGGAGCUCCGAGACAUCGUUCUUCCAACCAACGCUUCGACACGGCCCUUCAUCUUCGUCAUCGACGUGGUGUGGUAGACCCUGUCUUCGAUAUCUUCGACGGUGGAAGCUGGCACUGUCGUUUGGAAGCCGAUAGCCUUGGCGAGUGAAGCAGCAGGAGUCGCUGGAAAACUACAUAUCAGAUGGCAGGAUGGUGUCAAACGGAACUGGAGGAGGCAUGGGAUAUCCACCUCUGAUGGUAGUUUUGAUAUCAUCCCAAAGUCUUGGUAAAUGGUAGAAAACAGUAAUGUUUGGGUUAUUUUUUUGUCCAUGUAAUAGGACUUGUAAAAUUUGAACAAAUGAAAAAAGGGAUU
Molecule: long non-coding RNA, 1686 nt
Filed under: Lytechinus variegatus (green sea urchin)
Lineage: Eukaryota; Metazoa; Echinodermata; Echinoidea; Temnopleuroida; Toxopneustidae
Description: uncharacterized LOC121421082
Source: RNAcentral